This 70-nucleotide transfer RNA is filed under the name Dipodomys ordii (Ord's kangaroo rat). It matches the Rfam family "tRNA". From Rfam's summary of the family: Transfer RNA (tRNA) molecules are approximately 80 nucleotides in length. The record is from Rfam by way of RNAcentral. Lineage: Eukaryota; Metazoa; Chordata; Mammalia; Rodentia; Heteromyidae.
GGGAAUGUGGCUCAUUGGUAGAGUGCUUGCCUAGCAUGCAUGAAGCCCUGGGUUCGAUUCCCCAGUACCA